RNAcentral lists this ribosomal RNA (274 nucleotides) under uncultured bacterium. RNAcentral's name for it is "partial 16S ribosomal RNA". It matches the Rfam family "Bacterial small subunit ribosomal RNA", at positions 523 to 796 of the family's 1533-position model. The record is from RNAcentral.
AUACGGAGGGUGCAAGCGUUAUUCGGAAUCACUGGGCGUAAAGGGUGCGUAGGCGGUUUGAUAAGUCUGAUGUGAAAUCCUAUGGCUCAACCAUAGAACUGCAUUGGAAACUGUCAGACUAGAAUACUGAAGGGGCAGAUGGAAUUAGUGGUGUAGGGGUAAAAUCCGUAGAUAUCACUAGGAAUACCGAAAGCGAAAGCGAUCUGCUGGGAAGUUAUUGACGCUGAGGCACGAAAGCGUGGGGAGCAAACGGGAGUAGAUACCCUAGUAGUCC